Molecule: ribosomal RNA, 1011 nt
Filed under: Escherichia coli
Lineage: Bacteria; Pseudomonadati; Pseudomonadota; Gammaproteobacteria; Enterobacterales; Enterobacteriaceae
Description: partial 23S ribosomal RNA
Rfam family: Bacterial large subunit ribosomal RNA
Source: RNAcentral
GUGUUAGUGGAAGCGUCUGGAAAGGCGCGCGAUACAGGGUGACAGCCCCGUACACAAAAAUGCACAUACUGUGAGCUCGAUGAGUAGGGCGGGACACGUGGUAUCCUGUCUGAAUAUGGGGGGACCAUCCUCCAAGGCUAAAUACUCCUGACUGACCGAUAGUGAACCAGUACCGUGAGGGAAAGGCGAAAAGAACCCCGGCGAGGGGAGUGAAAAAGAACCUGAAACCGUGUACGUACAAGCAGUGGGAGCCUCUUUUAUGGGGUGACUGCGUACCUUUUGUAUAAUGGGUCAGCGACUUAUAUUCUGUAGCAAGGUUAACCGAAUAGGGGAGCCGAAGGGAAACCGAGUCUUAACUGGGCGUUAAGUUGCAGGGUAUAGACCCGAAACCCGGUGAUCUAGCCAUGGGCAGGUUGAAGGUUGGGUAACACUAACUGGAGGACCGAACCGACUAAUGUUGAAAAAUUAGCGGAUGACUUGUGGCUGGGGGUGAAAGGCCAAUCAAACCGGGAGAUAGCUGGUUCUCCCCGAAAGCUAUUUAGGUAGCGCCUCGUGAAUUCAUCUCCGGGGGUAGAGCACUGUUUCGGCAAGGGGGUCAUCCCGACUUACCAACCCGAUGCAAACUGCGAAUACCGGAGAAUGUUAUCACGGGAGACACACGGCGGGUGCUAACGUCCGUCGUGAAGAGGGAAACAACCCAGACCGCCAGCUAAGGUCCCAAAGUCAUGGUUAAGUGGGAAACGAUGUGGGAAGGCCCAGACAGCCAGGAUGUUGGCUUAGAAGCAGCCAUCAUUUAAAGAAAGCGUAAUAGCUCACUGGUCGAGUCGGCCUGCGCGGAAGAUGUAACGGGGCUAAACCAUGCACCGAAGCUGCGGCAGCGACGCUUAUGCGUUGUUGGGUAGGGGAGCGUUCUGUAAGCCUGCGAAGGUGUGCUGUGAGGCAUGCUGGAGGUAUCAGAAGUGCGAAUGCUGACAUAAGUAACGAUAAAGCGGGUGAAAAGCCCGCUCGCCG